UACGUAGGUCCCAAGCGUUAUCCGGAAUUACUGGGCGUAAAGAGUCUGUAGCUGGUCUCGUAAGUCUAUUUUUCAAAAUACCUUGGCUUAACCAAGGAAAAGGGGGAUGGAUACUGCGAGUCUGGAAGUCAUCAGGGGGUAAAGUAGAAUUUCCGGUGGAGAGGUGAAAAUUCGUUUGAUAUCGGAAAGGAAUGCCAAAAAGCGAAAGCAGCUUACUAUGAUUAUCUUGACAGUGAGAGACGAAAAGUUUUGGGUAGCAAACGGG
RNAcentral lists this ribosomal RNA (265 nucleotides) under uncultured bacterium. RNAcentral describes it as "partial 16S ribosomal RNA". It matches the Rfam family "Bacterial small subunit ribosomal RNA", at positions 524 to 776 of the family's 1533-position model. The record is from RNAcentral.